RNAcentral lists this small RNA (28 nucleotides) under Bombyx mori (domestic silkworm). RNAcentral describes it as "ovarian small RNA-19466". Lineage: Eukaryota; Metazoa; Arthropoda; Insecta; Lepidoptera; Bombycidae. The record is from RNAcentral.
UAAGUUCCAAUGCACUGUCCCUAAUACC